This is a long non-coding RNA of Symphalangus syndactylus (siamang), 827 nucleotides long. RefSeq lists it as uncharacterized. The record is from RefSeq and is a predicted model, not a curated record. Lineage: Eukaryota; Metazoa; Chordata; Mammalia; Primates; Hylobatidae.
CACAAGCAUAUAUAACUUCUAACACUAGCAUACUGGGACAUGUUUAACAACUGGCUCUCUGGAAAACAAAAUAUUCUAAUUGGUAGUGUGUGCCAAUUUCUGUGGUGUAAAUACUCCCAUUGUGGCUGACUUUGGGUUACCAUUAUGAUGUCACCGAGUAGGGAGUUGGGAAAAAAUGAGAUGUGCACAUUGAUACUUGCACAGAGAGACAAGGAUGUCUGUCUUUGGCAGGUGGAGACGUCUUCAAAAGAAGUAGCAGGGAGAGUAAUUGAAGGAAAGAAGAAUCUCAAAGGAAGAACAUCUUAGAGGAUGGAGUCAAGAAUUUUGGAAAACUGGGCAAGAGAACCCUUCCAAGACAUAAGAACUGCAAUUUAAUAUGGGAACAUUCUCUGUGCCUAAGGAUCUCCGAAAUGAAGUCCUGAAUGAUGGAAGAGGAUAAGAGAAGAGCACAACAUCUUUUAGUAAAGUAUGUCUGUUGGAGGGAAGAUAGCAAGCACCUUCCUGGACUCUGGCUUGCGGUGCAAGGGCAGAUUAGAGGGCGACCCACUCCUGACACUGCGAUCCUCAAUCUCAUCACCAGCUGGACAUCCCAAAAGGAUCCCGGGAUGAAGACCAAGAGGAUUGGGUCUCUUUCUAUACCAUGAAAAUUGUUUGUCUGCAGGCAACUUUGAGAUAUAAUCAUGGGAAUUUGGGGGAUAUUUCUACCAUAAGCUUUCUUCUGCUGAAUACCUCUGUACCUAGGACACUUAAUAAAACACAAAUUUUCUAGAAAUGCUGUGACCUCCUUGGCUACAUCUGAAGCCAAAUAAACACAAAAUAUGUUUGAG